RNAcentral lists this transfer RNA (74 nucleotides) under Oscillospiraceae bacterium. RNAcentral's name for it is "tRNA-Lys". It matches the Rfam family "tRNA". From Rfam's summary of the family: Transfer RNA (tRNA) molecules are approximately 80 nucleotides in length. Their secondary structure includes four short double-helical elements and three loops (D, anti-codon, and T loops). The record is from RNAcentral. Lineage: Bacteria; Bacillati; Bacillota; Clostridia; Eubacteriales; Oscillospiraceae.
GGGAUAUUGGUGUCAGCGGCGAGCACAGCAGACUCUUAAUCUGGCAGGCCAGGGUUCGAAUCCCUGAUAUCUCA